UGCGGAAGGAUCAUUAAAGAGUAAGGGUGCUCAGCGCCCGACCUCCAACCCUUUGUUGUUAAAACUACCUUGUUGCUUUGGCGGGACCGCUCGGUUCCGAGCCGCUGGGGAUUCGUCCCAGGCGAGCGCCCGCCAGAGUUAAACCAAACUCUUGUUAUUUAACCGGUCGUCUGAGUAAAAAUUUUGAAUAAAUCAAAACUUUCAACAACGGAUCUCUUGGUUCUCGCAUCGAUGAAGAACGCAGCGAAAUGCGAUAAGUAAUGUGAAUUGCAGAAUUCAGUGAAUCAUCGAAUCUUUGAACGCACAUUGCGCCCCUUGGUAUUCCGAGGGGCAUGCCUGUUCGAGCGUCAUUACACCACUCAAGCUAUGCUUGGUAUUGGGCGUCGUCCUUAGUUGGGCGCGCCUUAAAGACCUCGGCGAGGCCACUCCGGCUUUAGGCGUAGUAGAAUUUAUUCGAACGUCUGUCAAAGGAGAGGAACUCUGCCGACUGAAACCUUUAUUUUUCUAGGUUGACCUCGGAUCAGGUAGGGAUACCCGCUGAACUUAA
Molecule: unclassified non-coding RNA, 547 nt
Filed under: Metschnikowia sp. JSKim-2014
Lineage: Eukaryota; Fungi; Ascomycota; Pichiomycetes; Serinales; Metschnikowiaceae
Description: partial contains 18S rRNA, ITS1, 5.8S rRNA, and ITS2
Rfam family: 5.8S ribosomal RNA (bases 197-350)
Source: RNAcentral